This 274-nucleotide ribosomal RNA is filed under the name uncultured bacterium. RNAcentral describes it as "partial 16S ribosomal RNA". It matches the Rfam family "Bacterial small subunit ribosomal RNA", at positions 523 to 796 of the family's 1533-position model. The record is from RNAcentral.
AUACAGAGGGUGCAGGCGUUAAUCGGAAUUACUGGGCGUAAAGCGUACGCAGGCGGUUUGUUAAGCAAGAUGUGAAAGCCCCGGGCUCAACCUGGGAACUGCAUUUUGAACUGGCAAACUAGAGUUUUGGAGAGGGGAGUGGAAUUCCAGGUGUAGCGGUGAAAUGCGUAGAGAUCUGGAGGAACAUCAGUGGCGAAGGCGACUCCCUGGCCAAUAACUGACGCUCAUGUACGAAAGUGUGGGUAGCGAACAGGAUUAGAAACCCCGGUAGUCC